RNAcentral lists this long non-coding RNA (1843 nucleotides) under Chloebia gouldiae (Gouldian finch). RNAcentral's name for it is "Erythrura gouldiae (Gouldian finch) lncRNA (ENSEGOG00005011617.1)". The record is from RNAcentral. Lineage: Eukaryota; Metazoa; Chordata; Aves; Passeriformes; Passeridae.
CACUGGGUCUGUGGUUCGGGAUCUCACUGGGGUUGUGGUUCUGGAUCUCAAUGGCUCUGUGGUUCUGGCUCUCCCUGGGUCUGUGGUUCUGAGUCGCUGGGGUUGUGGUUCUGGUUCUCACUGGCUCUGUGGUUCUGGCUCUCACUGGGUCUGUGGUUCUGGGUCACCGGGGUUGUGGUUCUGGAUUUCACUGGCUCUGUGGUUCUGGUUCUCACAGGCUCUGUGGUUCUGGGUCACUGGCUCUGUGGCUCGGGAUCUCACUGGGGUUGUGGCUCUGGAUUUCACUGGCUCUGUGGUUCUGGAUUUCAAUGGCUCUGUGGUUCUGGAUCUCACUGGGUCUGUGAUUCUGGCUGUCACUGGCUCUGUGGUUCUGUCACUGAUCUGUGGUUCUGGCUCUCCCUGGUUCUGUGGUUCUGUCACUGAUCUGUGGUUCUGGCUCUCCCUGGCUCUGUGGUUCUGGCUCUCCCUGGCUCUGUGGUUCUGGUCUCUGGCUCUGUGGUUCUGGCUCUCACUGGCUCUGUGGUUCUGGUCUCUGGCUCUGUGGUGCUGGUUCUCACUGGCUCUGUGGUUCUGGCUCUCCCUGGCUCUGUGGUUCUGGUUCUCACUGGCUCUGUGGUUCUGGCUCUCACUGGCUCUGUGGUUCUGGGUCUCUGGGUCCGUGGUUCUGUUUGUUGUUGCUGCUGUUUGGUUCCCUUCUUACACAGACCAGCAAAGAGCUGUUAUUCCUUUUCCCGUAUCUGUGCUCAAAAGCCCCACAAUUUCAAAGUUACAAUAAUUCAGAGGGAAAGGGGUUUCUCCAUUCCACAGGAGGUUCCUGCCUCCCUUGGCAGACACCUGUCUUUCCAAAUGGAACAUUUGCCACUCCAGGCUUUUUUUUAUCACACGAAGGGAUGGGGACUCCACCCUGUCCCGGGGCAAACAAUUCCAGUGCCCAAUCACUCUUUCAGAAAACAUUUUUUUCCUCAUGUCCAACCUAAACUUUCCAUAGCACAGUUUAAGGCUGUGUCUUCUCCUUCUGUCAGUUGUCCCCUGCGAGAAGAGCCCGACCCCCACCUGGCUGCACCCUCCCGUCAGGGAGUUGCAGAGAGUGAUGAGGUCUGCCCUGAGCCUCCUGUCCUCCAGGAUCAACACCCCAGCUCCCUCAGCCGCUCCUCACAGGACUUGUGCUCCAGACCCCUCACCAGCCUUGUUGCCCUUCUCCGGAUGUGUUUAAACAUCUCAAUGUCCUUCUUAAACUGAGAGCCCAGAACUGGGCACAGCACUCAAGGUACGGCCUCACCUGUGCCGAGCACAGGGGAAAAUGUUCCGUUCCUUCCAGGAGGUUCCGUCAGGCCAUGGUGGAACCUUGGUGCCAUGUUGGUGCACAGCCUCACAGUGCUCUCCUGGUUUCCAUGAGGUUCCAGAGCCUCACAGUGCUCUCCUGGCUUCCAUGAGGCCAAACUGUGUCCCACUGGAGCCUGGGUUCCAUGAGCUCUGGCAAGCUCCCAGUGGCAUCUGGGUUCAGUGAGGCCCAGCUCUCACGGUUGACACCUGGUUAAAAGAGGUUCCAUAACCUCAUUCUGCUCUCCUGGGUUGCCUGCGGCCCCUGUGUCACACCAGCCCCCGGCUCCCGGGGGCCUCCACAGCGUCCCGGGGGCCCCUUGGUUGUAGGAGUGGUGGCUGGGAGCUCCUGCCCCCUCAGCGGCGGGGGAGAGGCCGCAGGGACCGUGCAGGCAGUGCCAUCAGCCCCUCGGUGCGUGGAACCUCCCAGCGAGUGCUCAGGUGUGCUCAGGUGUGCUCAGGUAACAGCAGUGCCAUCGGUGCUCUGGUGCAGCCUCGCCCCUUCGGCCCCACCCCUCCCUAC